UUCGACACACUAUCAUUAACUGAAUCCAUAGGUUAAUGAGGCGAACCGGGGGAACUGAAACAUCUAAGUACCCCGAGGAAAAGAAAUCAACCGAGAUUCCCCCAGUAGCGGCGAGCGAACGGGGAGCAGCCCAGAGCCUGAAUCAGUGUGUGUGUUAGUGGAAGCGUCUGGAAAGGCGCGCGAUACAGGGUGACAGCCCCGUACACAAAAAUGCACAUACUGUGAGCUCGAUGAGUAGGGCGGGACACGUGGUAUCCUGUCUGAAUAUGGGGGGACCAUCCUCCAAGGCUAAAUACUCCUGACUGACCGAUAGUGAACCAGUACCGUGAGGGAAAGGCGAAAAGAACCCCGGCGAGGGGAGUGAAAAAGAACCUGAAACCGUGUACGUACAAGCAGUGGGAGCACGCUUAGGCGUGUGACUGCGUACCUUUUGUAUAAUGGGUCAGCGACUUAUAUUCUGUAGCAAGGUUAACCGAAUAGGGGAGCCGAAGGGAAACCGAGUCUUAACUGGGCGUUAAGUUGCAGGGUAUAGACCCGAAACCCGGUGAUCUAGCCAUGGGCAGGUUGAAGGUUGGGUAACACUAACUGGAGGACCGAACCGACUAAUGUUGAAAAAUUAGCGGAUGACUUGUGGCUGGGGGUGAAAGGCCAAUCAAACCGGGAGAUAGCUGGUUCUCCCCGAAAGCUAUUUAGGUAGCGCCUCGUGAAUUCAUCUCCGGGGGUAGAGCACUGUUUCGGCAAGGGGGUCAUCCCGACUUACCAACCCGAUGCAAACUGCGAAUACCGGAGAAUGUUAUCACGGGAGACACACGGCGGGUGCUAACGUCCGUCGUGAAGAGGGAAACAACCCAGACCGCCAGCUAAGGUCCCAAAGUCAUGGUUAAGUGGGAAACGAUGUGGGAAGGCCCAGACAGCCAGGAUGUUGGCUUAGAAGCAGCCAUCAUUUAAAGAAAGCGUAAUAGCUCACUGGUCGAGUCGGCCUGCGCGGAAGAUGUAACGGGGCUAAACCAUGCACCGAAGCUGCGGCAGCGACGCUGAUGCGUUGUUGGGUA
RNAcentral lists this ribosomal RNA (1052 nucleotides) under Escherichia coli. RNAcentral describes it as "partial 23S ribosomal RNA". It matches the Rfam family "Bacterial large subunit ribosomal RNA", at positions 139 to 1230 of the family's 2925-position model. Lineage: Bacteria; Pseudomonadati; Pseudomonadota; Gammaproteobacteria; Enterobacterales; Enterobacteriaceae. The record is from RNAcentral.